AGAACGAACGCUGGCGGCAGGCUUAACACAUGCAAGUCGAACGCUCGUAGCAAUACGGGAGUGGCAGACGGGUGAGUAACGCGUGGGAACAUACCCUCCGGUUCGGAAUAGCUCAGGGAAACUUGGAUUAAUACCGGAUACGGCUGAGAGGCGAAAGAUUUAUCGCCGGAGGAUUGGCCCGCGUUCGAUUAGCUUGUUGGUGAGGUAACGGCUCACCAAGGCGAUGAUCGAUAGCUGGUCUGAGAGGAUGAUCAGCCACAUUGGGACUGAGACACGGCCCAAACUCCUACGGGAGGCAGCAGUGGGGAAUAUUGGACAAUGGGCGCAAGCCUGAUCCAGCCAUGCCGCGUGAGUGAUGACGGCCUUAGGGUUGUAAAGCUCUUUCGCUCGGGACGAUAAUGACGGUACGAGAUAAGAGCCCGGCUAACUUCGCGCCAGCAGCCGC
This 445-nucleotide ribosomal RNA is filed under the name uncultured bacterium. RNAcentral's name for it is "SSU rRNA". It matches the Rfam family "Bacterial small subunit ribosomal RNA", at positions 26 to 518 of the family's 1533-position model. The record is from RNAcentral.